RNAcentral lists this ribosomal RNA (497 nucleotides) under uncultured bacterium. RNAcentral's name for it is "partial 16S ribosomal RNA". It matches the Rfam family "Bacterial small subunit ribosomal RNA", at positions 28 to 507 of the family's 1533-position model. The record is from RNAcentral.
GAUGAACGCUGGCGGCGUGCCUAAUACAUGCAAGUCGAGCGAACGGACGAGAAGCUUGCUUCUCUGAUGUUAGCGGCGGACGGGUGAGUAACACGUGGAUAACCUACCUAUAAGACUGGGAUAACUUCGGGAAACCGGAGCUAAUACCGGAUAAUAUUUUGAACCGCAUGGUUCAAAAGCGAAAGACGGUCUUGCUGUCACUUAUAGAUGGAUCCGCGCUGCAUUAGCUAGUUGGUAAGGUAACGGCUUACCAAGGCAACGAUGCAUAGCCGACCUGAGAGGGUGAUCGGCCACACUGGAACUGAGACUCGGUCCAGACUCCUACGGGAGGCAGCAGUAGGGAAUCUUCCGCAAUGGGCGAAAGCCUGACGGAGCAACGCCGCGUGAGUGAUGAAGGUCUUCGGAUCGUAAAACUCUGUUAUUAGGGAAGAACAUAUGUGUAAGUAACUGUGCACAUCUUGACGGUACCUAAUCAGAAAGCCACGGCUAACUACGUG